GAUGAACGCUGGCGGCGUGCCUAAUACAUGCAAGUCGAGCGAACGGACGAGAAGCUUGCUUCUCUGAUGUUAGCGGCGGACGGGUGAGUAACACGUGGAUAACCUACCUAUAAGACUGGGAUAACUGCGGGAAACCGGAGCUAAUACCGGAUGAUAUUUUGAACCGCAUGGUUCAAAAGUGAAAGACGGUCUUGCUGUCACUUAUAGAUGGAUCCGCGCUGCAUUAGCUAGUUGGUAAAGUAACGGCUUACCAAGGCAACGAUGCAUAGCCGACCUGAGAGGGUGAUCGGCCACACUGGAACUGAGACACGGUCCAGACUCCUACGGGAGGCAGCAGUAGGGAAUCUUCCGCAAUGGGCGAAAGCCUGACGGAGCAACGCCGCGUGAGUGAUGAAGGUCUUCGGAUCGUAAAACUCUGUUAUUAGGGAAGAACAUAUGUGUAAGUAACUGUGCACAUCUUGACGGUACCUAAUCAGAAAGCCACGGCUAACUACGUG
RNAcentral lists this ribosomal RNA (497 nucleotides) under uncultured bacterium. Its description in RNAcentral is "partial 16S ribosomal RNA". It matches the Rfam family "Bacterial small subunit ribosomal RNA", at positions 28 to 507 of the family's 1533-position model. The record is from RNAcentral.